This 323-nucleotide ribosomal RNA is filed under the name uncultured eukaryote. RNAcentral describes it as "partial 18S ribosomal RNA". It matches the Rfam family "Eukaryotic small subunit ribosomal RNA", at positions 1470 to 1796 of the family's 1831-position model. The record is from RNAcentral.
CCCUUAGAUGUCCUGGGCCGCACGCGUGCUACACUGAACGGUUCAAUGGGUAAGGUAGUGCGAAAGCAUGACCUAAUCUCGAAAUCCGUUCGUGCUGGGGAUAGAAGCUUGCAAUUAUCCUUCUUGAACGAGGAAUACCUUGUAAGCGUGAGUCAUCAUCUCACGCUGAAUACGUCCCUGCCCUUUGUACACACCGCCCGUCGCUCCUACCGAUUGAGUGUUCCGGUGAGGCUUUGGGAGAAUGGCCUCAACAUGAGUUUAUCGUGUUUUGCCGUUUGAACUUAGUCAAACCUUAUCACUUAGAGGAAGGAGAAGUCGUAACA